UACGUAGGGUGCAAGCGUUAAUCGGAAUUACUGGGCGUAAAGCGUGCGCAGGCGGUUAUGUAAGACAGAUGUGAAAUCCCCGGGCUUAACCUGGGAACUGCAUUUGUGACUGCAUAGCUAGAGUACGGUAGAGGGGGAUGGAAUUCCGCGUGUAGCAGUGAAAUGCGUAGAUAUGCGGAGGAACACCGAUGGUGAAGGCAAUCCCCUGGACCUGUACUGACGCUCAUGCACGAAAGCGUGGGGAGCAAACAGG
Molecule: ribosomal RNA, 253 nt
Filed under: uncultured bacterium
Lineage: Bacteria
Description: partial 16S ribosomal RNA
Rfam family: Bacterial small subunit ribosomal RNA
Source: RNAcentral